CCUACGGGCGGCAGCAGUGAGGAAUAUUGGUCAAUGGGCGCGAGCCUGAACCAGCCAAGUAGCGUGAAGGAUGACUGCCCUACGGGUUGUAAACUCCUUUUAUAAAGGAAUAAAGUGAGGCACGUGUGUCUUUUUGUAUGUACUUUACGAAUAAGGAUCGGCUAACUCCGUGCCAGCAGCCGCGGUAAUAUGGAGGAUUCGAGCGUUAUCCGGAUUUAUUGGGUGUAAAGGGCGCGUAGCUGGGUUGUUAAGUCAGUUGUGAAAGUUUGCGGCUCAACCGUUAAAUUGCAAUUGAUACUGGCAGUCUUGAGUGCAGUUGAGGUAAGCGGAAUUCGUGGUGUAGCGGUGAAAUGCUUAGAUAUCACGAAGAACACCGGUGGCGAAGGCAGCUUACUAGACUGCCACUGACAUUGAUGCUCGAAAGUGUGGGUAUCAAACAGGAUUAGAUACCCUUGUAGUC
RNAcentral lists this ribosomal RNA (460 nucleotides) under uncultured bacterium. RNAcentral's name for it is "partial 16S ribosomal RNA". It matches the Rfam family "Bacterial small subunit ribosomal RNA", at positions 338 to 795 of the family's 1533-position model. The record is from RNAcentral.